GAUGAACGCUGGCGGCGUGCCUAAUACAUGCAAGUCGAGCGAACGGUCGAGAAGCUUGCUUCUCUGAUGUUAGCGGCGGACGGGUGAGUAACACGUGGAUAACCUACCUAUAAGACUGGGAUAACUUCGGGAAACCGGAGCUAAUACCGGAUAAUAUUUUGAACCGCAUGGUUCAAAAGUGAAAGACGGUCUUGCUGUCACUUAUAGAUGGAUCCGCGCUGCAUUAGCUAGUUGGUAAGGUAACGGCUUACCAAGGCAACGAUGCAUAGCCGACCUGAGAGGGUGAUCGGCCACACUGGAACUGAGACACGGUCCAGACUCCUACGGAAGGCAGCAGUAGGGAAUCUUCCGCAAUGGGCGAAAGCCUGACGGAGCAACGCCGCGUGAGUGAUGAAGGUCUUCGGAUCGUAAAACUCUGUUAUUAGGGAAGAACAUAUGUGUAAGUAACUGUGCACAUCUUGACGGUACCUAAUCAGAAAGCCACGGCUAACUACGUG
RNAcentral lists this ribosomal RNA (497 nucleotides) under uncultured bacterium. RNAcentral's name for it is "partial 16S ribosomal RNA". It matches the Rfam family "Bacterial small subunit ribosomal RNA", at positions 28 to 507 of the family's 1533-position model. The record is from RNAcentral.